GAAGAUUGUUGCAACUUAGAAGGUUUCGCAGCAAAGGGAAGUCGUGUUUCACGAUGAACGUCCGGUUUCGUGGUCCCAAAUAUUCAACUAACCGGAUGCAGUUCCACAAGCUGCGGUACACUUCAUGUACCAUCGUCUAAAGAGCAAUGGAAGAUUGUUGCAACUUGGAAGGUGCCGUACCAAGGGGAAGUCGCGGUACCGGUUUCGUGCUCCCAAAUAUUCAGGUGACUAUCACUACCGGAUCUAGUUCCACGAGCUGGGGGGUACACUUCAUUUAAUAACCUCUACGACAGAGUUUAAAAGCGAUGGACAGCGGCCUGAGAUUCCGUAAAAUCUCUGCUGCAGACUUAAGAACCGGUCACUUCCGUCCUAGCUCACCACCAGCGUGGCUUUUAACAACGUGGUGGGUUCGAUUGCCGCAGACGGCAUAGACGGAUUUGGCUAAGGUAGCUGCAUCAGAUGAACACAACACGGCACAGGCGAGUUCUUUGCCUUUGUUUCGACGGAGAAGUAUUUUCUUUCAUCUUGCGGAUAUCUAACAAGCAGAUCCAUCUCUCAAGGUCCCGGCAAACGCAAAGAACUUGACAGAGGAGGAAACAUUUGAUCCAUAGCAAACUUGCUUUAUGGCAAUCACAUCCCAGGUUUUCAUUUAGCUUCUAGGGUUUGUGGAGCUCCAGGAAUGCGGGCGGGUAUUUCUUCGCAAAGCCAGGUAGCGCAACUCGAUCUCCUCCUGAGAACAGUCAGAAAGCUGGAUUGGAUCCAUUAGAAAAGGUUAGCGUUCUUGGCCUGGCAUGAGUGUAGUGCUCUCUCGCUGAUCUUACUUCCGUAUUUUCCUGGGAGAAAGCGCGAAACUUCUACGGGUAGCUCCAGAGGUCUUCCAAGAAUUAUGAAAGGCUUCAGCGAGCUGUGGAUUCAUGGAUGUUAUGAACCUUUUUUUAGCUUCUUCCAUCACUGAUCUUGUUAUCUUACAGCAAACUGAGCGCUCCUACCGAAAACUGCUGCAAAUUGGUUGAAGGCCAGGAGAUAGAUUUCAUAGUUUAUUCAUUCUGGACCACCCGGCAACAGGCGCUAAGUUGCGCGUUGGAACUGUUGCAACUUGUCAAGGUUCGUACGAGGGCCAUCACGUGAAUUUCACGUGAUGGAUUUGUCUCACAAACCGGAUCAGCGCUAGAUUUUACGACAAAAAGUUCUCUGAGGUUUUCUACAAUUGUGGAUACUGUGACCUAGUGUUCAGCUGAGCUGCUUGCAGAUUUCCAAAACUCCUCACAGCCGAAUUCUUCUCAUCUUUUGUUUUUGUUUAUUGAUGGUUCCGUUUGCAGUGCCUUGCAUUUGAAACUGGGCCUGGAAGAUCGCACGGAAACUAUGGGUUCUUUGAUGCGCACAUAUCGUGUGACAGCGAUUUGGAUCAGGUACUGUGACUUGUUUCUAUUCAGAAGAACGUGUUCUCUAGGUGCGACUGGCUUCCUUUACCACGCAUUCUAGAGUAGGAAGUAAAGAAUUAUGCGUUCUCCCAGCAAAACAUCGCUCUCAAGGAGACGAGAGAGGACGAAGACAAGGAUGUUCAUACACACUGCUUUGGUGAGGUUUAUUCUUGGUUCCCCGAUUUCUAGAAUUCCCGUUGCGCUUUAGUGAGGAGGACCACAGUGCAUGACACAUAAAACACACAGUACUUCUGUUCUUGGGGAAUUUGUUUCUGUAGAAAUUUUCCGAGCAUGUCGAAACAGGUGUGCAAGCCGUUUUAGCUCAGCCGGUAGAGCGCGUGGCUUUUAACCACGUGGUCGUGGGUUCGAUUCCCACAGACGGCGAGGCGAGUUCAUUCUCAUCAGGCAAGCUCGAGUUCUUUGUUCUUUGUGAGACUCCUUUGAUUUUGCUGCAGUGGUAAAAGACUGUCGAAAGCACGCGAAAUCACCAGGUAGUGAAUUCUAGUUUCCUUGGUAGGCAAUAGGAGAAACGAUCUAGUUGUUUAUGUUCUUUGUGAAACUUCUUUCGUAGUAACUUUUGUGCUUCCAAGUUUGUACUUUUUACGAAUUUCCUCUUUCCCGUGGAAGCCGUCUUAGCUCGGCAGGUAGAGCGCGUGGCUUUUAACCACGUGGUCGUGGGUUCGAUUCUCACAGACAGCGUUUGCAAGAGCUCCCAGUUUCUGUGAGAUUCGUGAGUCUGAUUUACUGGCUUUAUUUCUUCUAGGGUUUGUGGAGCUGUAGGGCGGGCGGGCAUUCUUCGCUAAAGCCAGGCUCAUCCGAGUAGUCGUCAAGACUCCGUAGUGAUUCCACAGGAGUUUAGUGCUCUCUCGCUGCACCUACAGCAAAGUGAGCGCUCCCAAAACCGCUGCAAAUUGGUUGCAGGCCAGGAAAUAGUUUUCAUUUUUUUUUUCCUGGACCAGCCGGAAACAGGCUAAGUUGCGCGUUGCAGCUGUUGCAACUUGUCAAGGUUCGUACGAGGGCCAUCACGUUGCACGAGGAGCAUUCGAUUUAGUAUUGAUGAAUGUCACAGCUGUUUGCCACAAACCGCUGUAUGCAGGAAACAAGUACUACUUUCAAUGUUUUGUCACAGGAAUUAGCGCUGGAUUAAACGUCCAACUCUUCGAGCUUUCAGCUGGACGGAAAAAGUUUCUGUGAGGUUUUCUACAAGCAGGGGCUGCUGUCGGAGAUGAGGAUCAAGGGGUACGAGCCGGAUCGAAAGGUGGUGAUCCACAGCAUGGAAGAGGAGGACAAGGACGAGGUGCUGUUCUAUCACAGCGAGAAGCUGGCGGUGGCGUUUGGGAUUGCCAGCACGCCACCCAGGACGCCGCUUUGCAUCGUCAAGAACUUGCGAGUGCGCUCCGACUGCCACUCGGCAAUCAAGUUUGUUUAGCUGCAGUACCUUGUAUUUGAAACUGGAGGAUCCCAAGGUUUCAACGGAAAACAAUGACGUUUUUGUACUCACAUAAGGUACUGUGCUUGGAAGUGGCUUUUUCAAUUCAGGAUAAACACAGUUGAAGCUAAUUUUCAUGAAAGAUAUAACUAGGUGCAAGUCGCGCUCGUGGCUUCCUUCACCACGGCUUUUCUCAAACUCAGAUUAGCUUGUGGGAACAGAAAGAAAAGAACUAUGCGAACUCCCAGCAAAAUAUCGCUCGCAAGGAGACGAGAGACGACGAAGAAAGUACAAGGAGAUACACACUGCUUCGAUGAGGGACGAGACGAAAUUACAUGACGUAAACACACGCACAGAGUGCUUCAGAAGGUUCGUUCUGAGUUUGUUAUACUUGCAGAAUUCUUCCGAGCAUUUCAAACCAGUUGUUCAAGCCGUCUUAGCUCAGCCGGUAGAGCGCGUGGCUUUUAACCACGUG
This is a long non-coding RNA of Selaginella moellendorffii, 3325 nucleotides long. RefSeq lists it as uncharacterized. The transcript has 17 exons. The record is from RefSeq and is a predicted model, not a curated record. NCBI's taxonomy places the organism in Eukaryota, Viridiplantae, Streptophyta, Lycopodiopsida, Selaginellales, Selaginellaceae.